CUGGUCUGAGAGGAUGGACAGCCACAUUGGGACUGAGACACGGCCCAAACUCCUACGGGAGGCAGCAGUGGGGAAUUUUCCGCAAUGGGCGAAAGCCUGACGGAGCGACGCUGCGUGAAGGAUGACGGCCUGAGGGUUGUAAACUUCUUUUCUCGAAGAAGAAUCAAUGACGGUAUUCGAGGAAUAAGCAUCGGCUAACUCUGUGCCAGCAGCCGCGGUAAGACAGAGGAUGCAAGUGUUAUUCGGAUUGAUUGGGCGUAAAGCGUCUGUAGGCGGUUUAGAAAGUCUUUUGUGAAAUACUUCAGCUCAACUGGGGCUCCGCAAAAGAAACUUCUAGACUUGAGGGAAGUAGAGGUACAGGGAAUUUCCGGUGGAGCGGUGAAAUGCGUAGAUAUCGGAAGGAACACCAAUAUGGCGAAGGCACUGUACUGGGCUUUACCUGACGCUAAGAGACGAAAGCUAAAGGAGUGAUUAGGAUUAGAUACCCUAGUAAUUUUAGCCGUAAACGAUGGAAACUCACUGCCGAGCCGGUAUUCGGAGCGGUGGUCAAGCUAACGCGUGAAGUUUCCCGCCUGGGGAUUACGCAUGCAAAUGUGAAACUCAAAGGAAUUGACGGGGACCCGCACAAGCGGUGGAGUAUGUGGUUUAAUUCGAUGCAACGCGAAAAACCUUACCAAGGUUUGAAAUCAUUCUAAAACUCUUUGAAAGAAGAGCCUCCUUCGGGAUAGAAUGACAGGUGGUGCAUGGCUGUCGUCAGCUCGUGUUGUGAAAUGUCAAGUUAAGUCUUGUAACGAGCGCAACCCAUGUCUUUUGUUGCUGUUUACAGUGCUUAAAAGAGACUGCCGCUCUACAGCGGAGGAAGGUGUGGAUGAUGUCAAGUCAGCAUGCCCCUUAUAUCUUGGGCUACACACGUACUACAAUGGUAGGGACAAUGAGUCGCAAACCUGCGAAGGCUAGCCAAUCUCAAAAACCCUAUCUCAGUUCAGAUUGUAC
Molecule: ribosomal RNA, 993 nt
Filed under: Ostreococcus sp. RCC393
Lineage: Eukaryota; Viridiplantae; Chlorophyta; Mamiellophyceae; Mamiellales; Bathycoccaceae
Description: bacterial SSU rRNA
Rfam family: Bacterial small subunit ribosomal RNA
Source: RNAcentral